Molecule: ribosomal RNA, 494 nt
Filed under: Salmonella enterica
Lineage: Bacteria; Pseudomonadati; Pseudomonadota; Gammaproteobacteria; Enterobacterales; Enterobacteriaceae
Also listed under: 1 other name
Description: partial 23S ribosomal RNA
Rfam family: Bacterial large subunit ribosomal RNA
Source: RNAcentral
GGUUAAGCGACUAAGCGUACACGGUGGAUGCCCUGGCAGUCAGAGGCGAUGAAGGGCGUGCUAAUCUGCGAUAAGCGCCGGUAAGGUGAUAUGAACCGUUAUAACCGGCGAUACCCGAAUGGGGAAACCCAGUGUGAUUCGUCACACUAUCAUUAACUGAAUCCAUAGGUUAAUGAGGCGAACCGGGGGAACUGAAACAUCUAAGUACCCCGAGGAAAAGAAAUCAACCGAGAUUCCCCCAGUAGCGGCGAGCGAACGGGGAGGAGCCCAGAGCCUGAAUCAGCAUGUGUGUUAGUGGAAGCGUCUGGAAAGGCGCGCGAUACAGGGUGACAGCCCCGUACACAAAAGCGCAUAUGCUGUGAGCUCGAUGAGUAGGGCGGGACACGUGGUAUCCUGUCUGAAUAUGGGGGGACCAUCCUCCAAGGCUAAAUACUCCUGACUGACCGAUAGUGAACCAGUACCGUGAGGGAAAGGCGAAAAGAACCCCGGCGAGG